CCAGUCCAAAAUAGGUUAGAUGCCUCGAAAUUUAACCUAAAUCCCUUAGUCUAUUAGUCUGAUAAGACUCCUAAACUCUUAUUUUAUAUUGUGUAGAACAAGAUUUGUUGCCAGAUUUAACGUAAGUUAAUCUGUGGUCCUACCCGACCAAAAGGGGGUGGAUUCAAAUUAAAUUGCUUAAAAUCCCUUAAAGAAAGGUGAAUCAUAAGCUAAAUUGCUAGUAAAACCUUAAAGGUAAGCUUUGCGCCAAACUGCUUAUAAAUCCUCAGAGACAGGUAAAGCAUGCGCUAAAAUAGCUGGUAAAUCCUAAACAAGGUGUAGCAUUUCUAACACUGAAAGAAAAGUGUUUCUUUGAUAUCACAG
Cyprinodon tularosa is the source of this 363-nucleotide long non-coding RNA. RefSeq lists it as uncharacterized. NCBI's taxonomy places the organism in Eukaryota, Metazoa, Chordata, Actinopteri, Cyprinodontiformes, Cyprinodontidae. The record is from RefSeq and is a predicted model, not a curated record. The transcript is spliced from 2 exons.